CCUACUGGGCGCUGCAGUAGGGAAUUUUCGUCAAUGGGCGCAAGCCUGAACUAGCAAUGCCGCGUGAACGAGGAAGGUCUUCGGAUCGUAAAGUUCUGUUGAAGGGGAAGAAGAGCGGAGAGAGGAACUGAACUCCGCUUGAUAUUACCCUUAGAGGAAGUCACGGCUAACUACGUGCCAGCAGCCGCGGUAAUACGUAGGUGGCGAGCGUUAUCCGGAAUGAUUGGGCGUAAAGGGUUCGUAGGCGGCCUGCUAAGUCUGGAGUGAAAGGUACCGGAUCAACCGGUACAGGCCCUGGAAACUGGCGGGCUAGAGAGCAGGAGAGGGCGGUGGAACUCCAGGUGUAGCGGUAAAAUGCGUAGAUAUAUGGAAGAACACCAGUGGCGAAGGCGGCCGCCUGGCCUGUUACUGACGCUGAGGCACGAAAGCGUGGGGAGCAAACAGGAUUAGAUACCCGAGUAGUC
This 464-nucleotide ribosomal RNA is filed under the name uncultured bacterium. Its description in RNAcentral is "partial 16S ribosomal RNA". It matches the Rfam family "Bacterial small subunit ribosomal RNA", at positions 338 to 795 of the family's 1533-position model. The record is from RNAcentral.